Long non-coding RNA from Papaver somniferum (opium poppy), 1821 nucleotides. RefSeq lists it as uncharacterized. The record is from RefSeq and is a predicted model, not a curated record. The transcript has 11 exons. Lineage: Eukaryota; Viridiplantae; Streptophyta; Magnoliopsida; Ranunculales; Papaveraceae.
CUCAGCCAUUUUCAUUUUUCAUCACCCCCUCUUUUUUUUCCUGCUCCCGAAGAUAUUGUCUCCUUGAUAUCAACUGAAGAUUCAGUUCCUGUCUCGACCUAAAAUUGAUCUUCAGUUGCAGUCUUGUAUUCGAUCUGGGUUUGUCAAAGUUGAAGAGGUGACUCUGAAGAACUAAAGAACAUAGACAGGUGCACUCAAAAGGGGUUAAUAUGCAACUUGUUGAGAAGUUGCUAUCACAGUCAGAAAAGACAUCAAGUGCUGAAACAAUUCCACUGGAGAAUUCUUCUCUAUGGAAGACCCUUGGGAAAACGUACGAGACUUGGAUCUGUCCUCUUGUUCAUUCACUUAUUGAGCAUACUGAUGAUAUGAUUUUAAGAUUGUGUCAAGACAUUGUUUUGAUGAAGGAUGAACUUGCGGAGCUACUAUUGUCACAUGUCUUGGUGAACUUAGCGAGAACUAAGGGUUCACAAGUUGAUCUUUGUAAAUUAAUCUCCUCACUGGUUUAACAUCCUACCUACUGUCACUCUACUUAUGCAUUUGGACCCAUUUCGGUGUUAUCUCUCUGUGGAGCUAUUCAUUAGGGUCUCCAACCAUUCCUUUGUUGCUAUAGGGGAUAUCUUUGUACUGUUGUUUCCCUUUUUGUUAGAAAUGUACUGGUACCAUAUCUUACUUGCACCAAUUUUUACGGUGAUGUUUUAUCUGUAUUAUAUAUUUUCGAAUGCAGGUCCAAGAAAACAUCUUUACGGAGUCUAAUGAACUGAUGAAAUCAGUUCAGAUUAUGCUGGAUGCACUGAAUGAAACCCGACUAUAUCAUGUCAUGGAAAGAGGGCGCACUUCCUCAGCACCACUCAAGCGAGAUAGUCCGAAGAAAUGUACCAGUCGAAAGAUUAGGGGUGUUGAAUUGAAGCUUCUAGAACAGGGUUUGUCAAGGUUGAAGAGGUGAACUACUUUGAAAAAAGAACUCUGAAGAACUGAAGAACAUAGAAAGGUGACUGCAGUGCAGGUCAAUUGAAGUAGGUGCCACCUGGGGGAAUAUCAAUCCCUGGUAAGUACACUUCUUUUGCUUAUGCUUAUCAUAUUGAAAUCUGUUGGAUACUAAUCUUGAGUAUAUAAUUGCUUUUGAGGUAAUAUGUUGUUCUUGAUGUUGCUACGGGAUUAUAUUGUUGCUGACCUUUCUCCGUUUCAAUAUGUCUAUUAACAACAAAAUAUGAAGAUAGAUUCAGCAAAAGCUUAUGUCCUGUGCUGUCCGUCUCCCCAUUCUGCACCGACCUGUGAAUUUCCAAUUCCCUUUGUUGUCCUUCAACAUGAUGUAGAUACCCUCACAGCAGCAGUAGUUUCUGAAUGUUCAUGAUCAACAACUACUCGGAAACGAAGAUUCUACAAAAUCUAGGGUUUAGUCUUUUGUUUGUGACAUCAGUACUGAAACAUCAAGUUGGUUAUUAUGCUGGUAUUUGGGCUUAAGUCAAAAAGCAGUACUCUGGUGAUAUUUUAGAAGCAGUUGAAUCUUUGCUGAGGAGAUUGGUUAAGCAAGCAGAGUCUGGUGAUACUUCUGGUGAUAUUUAGUCUUUCUUUCCCUGUUUUUCAAUGCCUCUGUCAGUUGACACAAACUAGGUUACCCAUCCAUUUAUAAACAUCAACAUUGAUUGAAUUUUUUAUGUCAGACACAACAUACAUAAGUUUACUUGUGUACAUUUGUAUAAUUGAAGAACCCGUUCUUUUAUGAUAAUAUUAUCUAGUGGUGAUUCUCAACUACAUUUGUAUCAGUUUUGUAUUGCCAUUGUAACUUGUAAAUCUGUGUGGAUGUUGGAUAUCGGGAACUGG